UACAGAGGUGGCAAGCGUUGUUCGGAAUUACUGGGCGUAAAGGGCGCGUAGGCGGCUUGACAAGUCCCGCGUGAAAGCCCCCGGCUCAACUGGGGAACUGCGCGGGAAACUGUCGGACUUGAGUUCGGGAGAGGGAAGCGGAAUUCCGGGUGUAGCGGUGAAAUGCGUAGAUAUCCGGAGGAACACCGGUGGCGAAGGCGGCUUCCUGGACCGACACUGACGCUGAGGCGCGAAAGCUAGGGGAGCAAACGGG
RNAcentral lists this ribosomal RNA (253 nucleotides) under uncultured bacterium. RNAcentral describes it as "partial 16S ribosomal RNA". It matches the Rfam family "Bacterial small subunit ribosomal RNA", at positions 524 to 776 of the family's 1533-position model. The record is from RNAcentral.